Suricata suricatta (meerkat) is the source of this 221-nucleotide long non-coding RNA. RefSeq lists it as uncharacterized. The record is from RefSeq and is a predicted model, not a curated record. The transcript has 2 exons. Lineage: Eukaryota; Metazoa; Chordata; Mammalia; Carnivora; Herpestidae.
GAAGAGUCAGAAGCUGAGGAGUCUCUCUCCCACUUUUAUACUCCAACCUCACCAUCCUUUGGCUCACAACCAGUUCAAACUGGGCAACCUACUUAAAGUAUACGAAAAUGACCAACUGAAAGAUGCAAGGCUGAAGUGACCAACUGAAUGAUGCAACUGAAAGACACAAGGCUAGAUGCGAUCUUCUACGUUGGAAAGCAAUAAAACAAACACACAGCUUC